This 349-nucleotide ribosomal RNA is filed under the name uncultured bacterium. RNAcentral describes it as "bacterial SSU rRNA". It matches the Rfam family "Bacterial small subunit ribosomal RNA", at positions 8 to 350 of the family's 1533-position model. The record is from RNAcentral.
AGAGUUUGAUCCUGGCUCAGGAUGAACGCUAGCUACAGGCUUAACACAUGCAAGUCGAGGGGCAGCAUGGUCUUAGCUUGCUAAGGCCGAUGGCGACCGGCGCACGGGUGAGUAACGCGUAUCCAACCUGCCUUACACUCUUGGACAGCCUUCUGAAAGGGAGAUUAAUACAAGAUGUUAUCAUGAGUAAGCAUUUUCGCAUGAUUAAAGGUUUACCGGUGUAAGAUGGGGAUGCGUUCCAUUAGAUAGUAGGCGGGGUAACGGCCACCUAGUCUUCGAUGGAUAGGGGUUCUGAGAGGAAGGUCCCCCANAUUGGAACUGAGACACGGUCCAAAAUCCUACGGAGGCA